This 313-nucleotide ribosomal RNA is filed under the name Antisabia foliacea. RNAcentral describes it as "eukaryotic LSU rRNA". It matches the Rfam family "Eukaryotic large subunit ribosomal RNA", at positions 65 to 370 of the family's 3401-position model. The record is from RNAcentral. Lineage: Eukaryota; Metazoa; Mollusca; Gastropoda; Littorinimorpha; Hipponicidae.
CUAACCAGGAUUCCCUCAGUAACGGCGAGUGAAGCGGGAUCAGCCCAGCACCGAAUCCCCCAGCAUCUAGCUGGCGGGAGCUGUGGUGUAUGGGACGUCAACUGUCGUCUGUACCGGUGGCCGAAGUCCUCCUGAUCGGGGCCUCUCCCAGAGCGGGUGUCAGGCCUUUGCUGGCUGCCGGUCGGUCGGCUGCGAGCGUCUCUCGAGUCGGGUUGUUUGGGAAUGCAGCCCAAAGUGGGUGGUAAACUCCAUCUAAGGCUAAAUACUGGCACGAGUCCGAUAGCGGACAAGUACCGUGAGGGAAAGUUGAAAA